AUUGAACGCUGGCGGCAUGCCUUACACAUGCAAGUCGAACGGCAGCGCGGGAGCAAUCCUGGCGGCGAGUGGCGAACGGGUGAGUAAUAUAUCGGAACGUGCCCAGUAGUGGGGGAUAGCCCGGCGAAAGCCGGAUUAAUACCGCAUACGACCUGAGGGUGAAAGCGGGGGAUCGCAAGACCUCGCGCUAUUGGAGCGGCCGAUAUCAGAUUAGCUAGUUGGUGGGGUAAAGGCCUACCAAGGCAACGAUCUGUAGUUGGUCUGAGAGGACGACCAGCCACACUGGGACUGAGACACGGUCCAGACUCCUACGGGAGGCAGCAGUGGGGAAUUUUGCGCAAUGGACGAAAGUCUGACGCAGCAACGCCGCGUGGGUGAUGAAGGUCUUCGGAUUGUAAAACCCUGUCGCCAGGGACGAAGGGUGGGGCGUGAAUAGCGUUCUACUUUGACGGUACCUGGAAAGGAAGCCCCGGCUAACUCUGUGCCAGCAGCCGCGGU
Molecule: ribosomal RNA, 498 nt
Filed under: uncultured bacterium
Lineage: Bacteria
Description: bacterial SSU rRNA
Rfam family: Bacterial small subunit ribosomal RNA
Source: RNAcentral